GUUCACUUUUAACUGAGUAAGUAUUUUGAUAUACACUAUAUGUGCACCCCGACCAUCACAUCCAUAUGUCAUGCCGUAGUGGUGUCAGGUCGUAGUGGUGUAUGGUGAAAAUGUCAGGUCGUAGUGGUCAAGGGUGAAAAUGUCAGGUCGUAGUGGUGUAUGGUGAAAAUGUCAGGUCGUAGUGGUCAAGGGUGAAAAUGUCAGGCUGUAGUGGUGUAUGGUGAAAAUGUCAGGUCGUAGUGGUCAAGGGUGAAAAUGUCAGGCUGUAGUGGUCUGUGGUGAAAAUGUCAGGUCGUAGUGGUGGGAGUGUUUGAACAGACACAAUUCUAGUGACAAACUGUCUGGAGAUUACAGCCCCACCCGUCAAGCGCGAAAACAACCGUGUUCUUGCAAAGUAAAGAAUGAGGGGAAAAAAAUAAAAUGGCCGAGUGUUGGCUCUGGUAGAGAACGAAACAAACAUCAUGUUCAGGCAUGGUCCUAUAGAGAAGUAGUCAUCUUAAUAAACACUGAAGUGUUCACUACAAUAAACAUGAG
Long non-coding RNA from Ictalurus punctatus (channel catfish), 534 nucleotides. The record is from Ensembl. NCBI's taxonomy places the organism in Eukaryota, Metazoa, Chordata, Actinopteri, Siluriformes, Ictaluridae.